GGGGAAUAUUGGGCAAUGGGCGCAAGCCUGACCCAGCCAUGCCGCGUGAAGGAUGACGGCCCCAUGGGUUGUAAACUUCUUUUGUACGGGAAAAAACUAUAGUUCGUGAACUAUACUGAUGGUACCGUAAGAAUAAGCAUCGGCUAACUCCGUGCCAGCAGCCGCGGUAAUACGGAGGAUGCAAGCGUUAUCCGGAUUCAUUGGGUUUAAAGGGUGCGUAGGCGGAUUAAUAAGUCAGUGGUGAAAUCCUACAGCUUAACUGUAGAACUGCCAUUGAUACUGUUAGUCUUGAGUACAUUUGAAGUGGGCGGAAUGUGUCAUGUAGCGGUGAAAUGCUUAGAUAUGACACAGAACUCCGAUAGCGAAGGCAGCUCACUAAACUGUAACUGACGCUGAGGCACGAAAGCGUGGGGAUCAAAC
Molecule: ribosomal RNA, 420 nt
Filed under: uncultured bacterium
Lineage: Bacteria
Description: bacterial SSU rRNA
Rfam family: Bacterial small subunit ribosomal RNA
Source: RNAcentral